RNAcentral lists this long non-coding RNA (448 nucleotides) under Fukomys damarensis (Damara mole-rat). RNAcentral's name for it is "lncRNA (ENSFDAG00000027400.1)". The record is from RNAcentral. Lineage: Eukaryota; Metazoa; Chordata; Mammalia; Rodentia; Bathyergidae.
CCCUUCGCCCCGAGUUCUCCAUCCCCUGGAUCGCGGGCUCGCGGGGAAGAGGAUCCAGGAAAGGCUGUUCUCCAUUGCUAAGAAGACUGAGGUUUGCUGCGGCCAGGGAAAGGAGGUGUCCUUCCUGUACCCCACACCAUCCUUCUGCUAGAAGAAAGUUUCUUUUCCAUCCCAUGGAAGCCACUUCCGGAGACAAGCUUCAGGAGAAAAGGAAAAGCAGAUGUCAGCCUGUGACACAGAAUAAUCGAUUUGCUCAGUGCUUCUAUUUUCCUACCAAUUUUGUAUUUUUCAAAAAGGACAAUAAAACAAUUGUACUCUCGGCUAAUUAAUGACAAGCUGGUAAAAGCAUCUCCUCAUUGUUCCAUUUAUUUCUCCAUUUCUCCCAGUUAACAGCCCUGUCUCUGAAAUGAAUCAAUGUCGUUUACACAAUGCUGUCACCCCAUUGUUC